GCUCACGUGUGUACAUGUACCCCAAAACCACGACGCGAGGAGAACUAUAAAAAAUAUAGUUCCAGUGGGUUCGGCCGCCGACUCGCCGAUCUUACACCUAUAGGGUCUAAGCUGGACACAGAUAGAUAGAUACAGAGAGAUGAAUAGAUAUUGAACUGCAACUACUGAUCUAUUGUGCUAUCAAAUGCAAGCAAGAUGAAUAUAACUAGCCAAUAAGCCUAACUAUUAUGAUAUAUGCUUUCAACGAUGUAGAUGAAUAAAUACGACAUAGUUUUGCAUUGCCACAUAACAUAUACUUAUGUUUUUUUAAUCCAGGGUAUGAAGCAAAAUCCACUUCAUUACUAUUCAUGUAUUGACCAAUCACUCAGGUACCCGCCUUUCUCAAAUCACGUGGCUGAAGGACUACUCCGCCCUUGUUUCACCCGUUCCCACAACUUCUAAACUAUAGGUUAAGAGUACCCGCUCGUCGCCGCAACUCUAACGUCAAAUGCCAACGGCAUGAGCUUACCCGCUCUUCGCUCCGACGUCUAACUCAAUCAUAGGUCAGAGCUACCCGCUCUAGGUCACAGAGUACCUCCGCUCGUAGGGUAAAGAGCUCCGACUCAUAGGUUAAAGAGUACCCGCUCAAAGUGUCAAGCCGUCAAAGAGCUACCCCGUCGCAUAGUAAAGAGCUACCCCGCUCAAAAAUGUACUCAGGUCAAGAGCUCCCGCCGUCGUAGGUUAAAGGACUACCCCGUUCAUACGGUAAAGAGCUACCCGCUCAAAGUCAAGAGAGUACCGCUCGGUAGGUUAAGAGCUACCCGCUCAUAGGCGUAAAGAGCUACCUCGCUCAAACGGUAAAGAUGCUACCCCGCUCAAAAUCUACAAGGAGAAGAGCAUACCCGCCUUCGCCCGACUCACUUCCCAGCCACAUGGUGGGAGCUACCCCGCUCGUUAUCCCACCCAUGAGCUACCCCGCUCGCUUGACAACUGAGGAUACCCUGUCAACUAGGUUAACCAUCCCUUGAUAUUCUACCUAUCCCUAGGUCCAUGUCAAAGUGUUUCAACCAUAUCAAAUCUCAAUGCACAUCACUAGGUCUAGCCAACUCUAGGUUCCACAACACUGGUUUAAUGUCAACUAUGUUAACAACAUUAUAUUAAUCCACUCGAUCUAUCCUAGGUCACGACACUAGGUUUAGAUGCCCACUUUCUCCAUAAUUAACAAUAGGUUAAACAUUCAUUUCAUCUAGCAUAUAUGUUCUAUAAGGCCAACUUGCAUCAUAUAAUGCUAAUAUGCCAUAAUCAACUAGCAUGCAAUCCAUUCAUAAUGCUACGUGCAUACAGUCUCCAUUACACUAGUUCACAUGUCACUAGUUUCAUUUCAAGUCCACAGUUCUUAUUUCUUUCUCAUUAUAGGAUCUCAUGUCUCAAACCUUAUCAUAUGCAUAUUCUAGAUUUAAGUGUCAAGUCUAUAAUACUAACAACUAGACAUGCACUCAAGGAAAGUAGAAAAUGUAACUAUACAUAAUCUAUAUAAUGCAUAAGAACCAAUAUAUGAAUAUGAUCAACUAUUAUCGGAGAUAGAAGGAAGCCCGAUUGCUUCGGAUAGACACCCCCAUUUUUACAGCCGUUCCGAUGCUCGUCGUCACUCGCAAUCGGCCUCCCGCGGCACACCGCUCGGCUUGACCCAAUCUGCGCCGACCCGAACGACCUCGAUCCGCGAUCCGAAAAUUAAAGGGUCUUCGGUUUCUUGUCACGAUGCUUCAAAUCCGUUUCCACGAUUUACGGACGUCGCCUCGCCCUCCAGCGGAAACGAAGUCUAAACGUCCGUUUCUUUAAUAACUUCGCACUUGCUCGACGAAUCGCCGAACGUCGCUUCCAACGCGUUUAGUGACCUAUCGAUAGGUUUACGGAGGGUCAAAUUAGAUCAAACCCUCAUAUUUGAAAAUUAACAUUUUGGAGCCUUAACAUGAAAUAACCUCCAAAUACUCCAAAUUAAAUGAGCAAUAUGCUACUAAUGACUAUUAGAGGCUACUAGAACUCUUAAAGCUAAGGAUUAAGCCAAAUCCCAAAAGCUUACCCAUUGUGAACGCCGCGACGAAAACACGCCGCUCCAACGGGCGCACGAAGCUCGAUCCGUCGCUCCCAACGCGUUCACAAGCAUUCUUCUCGCCAACGCUGCGAAUUUGAGCGAGAAAUAUAGAGAGAUGAGAGAGAUCUCUAGAGAGAGAAAGGCAGGGUUCUCUCCUCCCUUUCAUGCGUGCGUGGUGUGUGGCCAUGGAGGCGGUGGUCGGUUGAAGGAGAAGAAGCUGCAUGCUUCUAAUUAAAGUCAACACCAACACUAUUCACUCCAGGCAACUUUAAAAUCUGAUAUCUUUCGCCGGAGCUCCCUGAAUAUCCGUUUGAGCUCAAAUCUGACAGUCAUAUUCGGUUUUACUUAAAGAGUCCAAAGAAAUUUUAAUAUUUCAGUUUCGACCCGUUUGGUACCGAAAACUGUGCCGAACUGUAAUCUUUAUCAGAUGGCUUUCGGAUUUUAUUUCUCACUCUACGGGUAUCAGAAAAAUAUGAAACUUAAAAUCUAGCCUCAUUAAAUAUUUCUGACAUCCCCGCCAAUUUCAUAAUUUUCGAGACUGUGUAUUUUCUGCUAAUUUAUCUGCCCCGUUAUCAACAGAAAAAUCCAGAUUCUUCUGUUUUCAUCCCGAUUUCAGCACAAGUCACUUCUGAUUAUGUUUUACUUCUCUAGAUCAAUAAAAUGUAUUCUCAUACUAUUUUUUUUAUUUAUAUUUUAUCUUUUAUAUUUAAAUCCGGUAUAUUACAUUACACCGCAACCUUACCGGAACCAUUCAAAUGGCUCUCCAACCAAAUGGACACCGUAACCUCAUGAUUUUAGAAGUCGCGUACCUUACACUCUCCCCUCCUAUAAAGGAGUUUCGUCCCGAAACUCAAACCACGCCUCAAUUCGGCUCCUGAGCAAUUUAGGGCGCUAAUGCACUUUUCUAGUUCGGAAUGGCUUUACCUCUUUGCAACUAUCCAAGAGGCCAACACGGAGGGUACAAUACCCAACUCGUACAACUUUGCAAGGCGCAUCUCAGCAGGUGCAUUACGUUCUCGUUAUUCUGGCAGCAGCGCAAGUCGAGGUCAACGGCUCUACGCACUCCAAAGUCAUUCGCCAACUGGCCACUAAGGCCAAACCACCUCCCUCGAGAACGGGAUACCCGCUAUCCUCAUGGUGUGGAGCUAUCAAGAACGCACCAAUAGUCAUAUGGUCCACCAUCACGACACAGCACACACGGGUAAGCCCUCUCGAAUCACCCGAAUGUCAACAAAGCGGCGCUCCGCCACUUUGGCUAUCCAAGAGUUCGUAUUUUCUCAUUCACGGACUCUUCAUCACUUUCACCAUCCUCUAGGGGUCACAUCCAAUUGAUCACAUAUCGCCUAGAAGCAAUAUCAUUGGUGCAUCGACCCACUGGCGAGUGCUCCAAUCUUCAACCAGACCCUUGCUCUACCGCGGGAUGGCACGCUUCGGCAAUCUCCAACUCAGCCCUUAAAAGAGCAUUAUCUCAAGCUCCAAUUCACUUAGGGGCAUCAACUUCAAUCCUCUACCUCUCGUGGCUUCCAAUAGCUCAAUGUCUCACGCGAGCAGUAUAUCCUCGAAUACCAUAUGCCACGACCAUCACCAACUCGUUCGUGCAAACGAAUCCACAUGAACAUCGUUCGUCAUUCUAGGCCACGCCCAUCACUGAGGCUACUCGCUCAACCACUUCAUCAAAUCAUAGGUGAACACAGGUCACCAAUCCUAGACUGUCGCUUAAACCAGUCUCAACUACGCGUAGUGUCUCUCGCUCACCAGUGUAGACCAAUUAUCACUACUGGGCGAAAUUCUUAUUGGAGAAUUCGCACACACUUCAACCAGGAGCAACUAGACCUCAAAACACGUCGAAUCCUUGGGUUGGGUCACUACCACAGAGGUGUAACCUUGAUCUCAUGAUCCACGUGUGUCAUUCCACGCUCCGAGUCUCAGCUUGGACUACCGCCUGACCAAAAUUCUGCCCUACAUUGGGCCGCUGUCUCUCACAGCUGACUGUGCCUGCCCAAUGGGCCAGGCUCCACAGUCCACAAAUGGUCCAGGCACACGAUCGUCCCCAAGCACUACUCGCCGUCGUCGUCUUAUACGACAUACUCUAUUGAGUUACACGUACCAUUACCGACUCCUAAGUGCCUAAGCACCUAGUAUGAGCCACCAGCCCUCACGAGUGAUCGUGGCCGCUUCACACUUAGCCCUGUCGAAGUGCUACUGCAAUUCACUCGACCGGCUGAAUCGAAACCGCACUUCACGUAAUUACACUCGAGCGCUCUACACGCUCUACUGCGUUCCAACUAGGUCAGCAUUAGGCAACCUUGCUAUGCAUACCACUACACGAGCAUGGACUCGCUGACCUCAACUUGAGGUACUACUCGGCUAACGUUCUCGUAUUCGGCAACUAUACGGCUACUCUCUUCAACAGUGAUUCCACUACUAGCAAUUUGCUAGUACGUCUAGCCCUCCAUCUACUCCAGCAAGCGUUACACCCUCACGCGCAAGCAUGCUCGGGUAUUUAACAUUGUCCGUCACUUUGGUCCUUACUACAUCGAUGCAUCGACGAUAGCAAGCGACCACACGACGAAUGCAUGCAAGGUCCUUCGACAAGGUCGCGUACUCACGACAUCUCGCUUGCCCGCCGCGAGCCUCCGUCGUCACUUCCUCACACUCGUUCUCUAGACCACUCUGUAGACUUCACAUCACAAACUGUCUCGGAGAGGAAGAGCUACCUCCUACAACGCGACCCUGCAAUCGACCGCACGAAUGCCUAUCUCACCACGCAACGCACACUACCGUGCUCGGUGAGAACUCCCACAAUCCCGCAUCUCAACACCGUAGCGUCUUCGGGGACAUCAGUUCCUGAAACGCAAACAUUUGUGUUAAUCAUCUUAACCCGUUAACUCGCGCGAUUACGAGAUAAACGACUCAACAUCGCAAAUUAGGCGGAGCACAAAGUUACUCGUUCUAACUCUUAGUGUCAUGUUGCCGGCCGCAACACAACCACUUCAAGUCAAGAAUUAAUACCACUGGAAUCCGUCUCUAGUAACUACUAGAAACAUACUAUCAACAACUUCAACCCAAUCGAACAACUCCCGCCACAACGCAUAGGUCACGUCACUCACGCACCUAUAGCCUUAAGGUUUCCGUCCUAGGGUCUCCUAGGUCAAUCUAGACUCUCUCUUUGCUUGCUUUAACUCGCUCUGAUACCAUUUUAUCUGUCACGCCCGGGACCGCUACCAAUUUGGUACGAUCCGGGCGCGUCGAACAGACGCCGAACGGACAGCACUCCCCUGUCCGCCCAAGGCUAAACAACAGGAUCAUGUACAACAAGUUCCCAGGAAAUCAACUUGAAUACAUACAUGAUCAAAACAAUAGCGGCACAACCAGUGCGAACAUUACAAGAGCAAGCAUCACAAGCGUAAACAAGUGAAUAAAAGAGAGAAUAUAACUAUCUAUUACAUCACAUUUGACAUUCAACAUUUAAUACAAUUGGUUACAUUUAAGCUUCCAAAAUGAAUACAUAUCAUAUCACAUAUAUAUAAUGCUAGCUAUCCAAAAUACAUCAUUGUAUCUAUAACCAUGCACAGAGGGUGCUCUAGUACAAUAGGAAAGCUCUACUAGCUAGCUAGGGCGCUACGCCCUUACCGCGAUCUACUGCCGGUCCGCUCAGUGUGUACCUGUACCCCAAAACCACACGGGGUGAGAACUAUAAAAAUAUAGUUCCCAGUGGGUUCGGCCGCCGACUCCGCCGAUCUUCCCACUAGGUCUAAGCUGGCACAGAUAGAUAGAUAGAGAGAUAGAAAGAUAUUGAACUGCAACUAUGAUCUAUUGUGCCAUCAAAUGCAAGCAAUGCAUGAAAUAUCAACUAGCAAUAAGC
RNAcentral lists this long non-coding RNA (5936 nucleotides) under Ananas comosus (pineapple). RNAcentral describes it as "long non-coding RNA (ACOM_LNC022261)". Lineage: Eukaryota; Viridiplantae; Streptophyta; Magnoliopsida; Poales; Bromeliaceae. The record is from RNAcentral.